UGGGGGAUAUUGCACAAUGGGGGGAACCCUGAUGCAGCGACACCGCGUGGGUGAAGAAGCGCCUCGGCGCGUAAAGCCCUGUCAGCAGGGAAGAAAAUGACGGUACCUGAAGAAGAAGCCCCGGCUAACUACGUGCC
RNAcentral lists this ribosomal RNA (137 nucleotides) under uncultured bacterium. RNAcentral describes it as "partial 16S ribosomal RNA". It matches the Rfam family "Bacterial small subunit ribosomal RNA", at positions 355 to 509 of the family's 1533-position model. The record is from RNAcentral.